AUACGGAGGAUGCGAGCGUUAUCCGGAUUUAUUGGGUUUAAAGGGUGCGUAGGCUGUGCGUUAAGUCAGGGGUGAAAUGCCGUCGCUCAACGACGGAGCUGCCCUUGAUACUGGCGUGCUGGAGUACGGAUGCCGUUGGAGGAAUGAGUGGUGUAGCGGUGAAAUGCUUAGAUAUCACUCAGAACACCGAUUGCGAAGGCAUCUGACGAAUCCGUCACUGACGCUGAGGCACGAAAGCGUGGGGAUAGAACAGGAUUAGAUACCCUGGUAUUCCACGCCGUAAACGAUGAUGACUAACCGUCGGCGAUAGACAGCCGGUGGCCAAGCGAAAGCGAUAAGUCAUCCACCUGGGGAGUACGUCGGCAACGAUUAAACUCAAAGGAAUUGACGGGG
RNAcentral lists this ribosomal RNA (393 nucleotides) under uncultured bacterium. Its description in RNAcentral is "partial 16S ribosomal RNA". It matches the Rfam family "Bacterial small subunit ribosomal RNA", at positions 523 to 918 of the family's 1533-position model. The record is from RNAcentral.